This is a long non-coding RNA of Cololabis saira (Pacific saury), 256 nucleotides long. RefSeq lists it as uncharacterized. The transcript is spliced from 3 exons. Lineage: Eukaryota; Metazoa; Chordata; Actinopteri; Beloniformes; Belonidae. The record is from RefSeq and is a predicted model, not a curated record.
ACUCCUCAAAGAGCAGUAAGAAUGAAAAAAAUGAAGAACCUGAAAAGCCAUCACACGAACAACUCCUCACUGACUGUGAGGCAGCACUUGAAGCCAUCAGCAAAUUGCUAAUUUCUCAGAACGUUAUGCAAGUGUCAGCAGAAGCCCAUCAGCCAGAGAUAAAAGAGAAUGAGGAGAGUUUACACGAGAAGGCAAAGCAAGGCAAGUUUAUUUGUAUAGCACAAUUCAACACAAGGUAAUUCAAAGUGCUUUACAU